AAAAUUGCCCAAUCUCGACACGGGGAGGUAGUGACGAAAAAUAACAAUUCAAGACUCGAAACGAGGCCUUGAAGUUGGAAUGAGUACACUUUAAAACUUUUAACGAGUAUCUAUUGGAGGGCAAGUCUGGUGCCAGCAGCCGCGGUAAUUCCAGCUCCAAUAGCGUAUACUAAAGUUGUUGCGGUUAAAAAGCUCGUAGUUGGAUCUUGGAGUGUGAGUGAAUGGUCGAUCGAAAGAUUGUACUGUUCGGCACACUCUUCUCUUCGGUUGCGUGUGUAGUGCCCUUAACUGAGUGCUGCACUCGACCGGAAUUUUUACCUUGAAAAAAUUAGAGUGUUCAAAGCAGACCUGAUUAUGUCUGAAUAUUCGUGCAUGGAAUAAUAAAAUAAGAACUUGGUUCUAUUUUAUUGGCUUUCGGAACUCGAGUUAAUGAUUAAGAGGGACAGACGGGGGCAUCCGUACUCUGCCGUUAGAGGUGAAAUUCUUGGAUCGGCGGAAGACGCGCAACUGCGAAAGCAUUUGCCAAGAAUGUUUUCUUUAAUCAAGAACGAAAGUCGGAGGUUCGAAGACGAUCAGAUACCGUCCUAGUUUCGACUGUAAACUAUGCCAGCUAACGAUCAGACAGCGUUCUCUACGACUUGUCUGGCAGUUUCCGGGAAACCAAAGCUUUCGGGUUCCGGGGGAAGUAUGGUUGCAAAGCUGAAACUUAAAGGAAUUGACGGAAGGGCACCACCAGGAGUGGAGCCUG
Molecule: ribosomal RNA, 748 nt
Filed under: uncultured marine eukaryote
Lineage: Eukaryota
Description: SSU rRNA
Rfam family: Eukaryotic small subunit ribosomal RNA
Source: RNAcentral